Molecule: ribosomal RNA, 497 nt
Filed under: uncultured bacterium
Lineage: Bacteria
Description: partial 16S ribosomal RNA
Rfam family: Bacterial small subunit ribosomal RNA
Source: RNAcentral
GAUGAACGCUGGCGGCGGGCCUAAUACAUGCAAGUCGAGCGAACAGACGAGGAGCGCUUUCUCUUGACGUUGGCGGCGGGCGGGUGAGUAACACGUAGGUAACCUUCCUCUAAGACUUGGAUAAAAGCGGGAAGCAGGAUCUACUAAUAGAUAAUAUGGCGAACAGUAUGGAUCGAUAGAGAAUGAUGGCUUUGCUGAUAGUUAUAGGUGGAAUUGCGCCGUAUUAGCGAGUUGGUAAGGUCACGGCUUACCAAGGCAACGAACCGUAGCCGAGCUGAGAGGAUGAUCUGCCACACUGGAACUGAGACACGGUCCAGACUCCUACGGGAGGCAGCAGUGGGGAAUGUUGCACAAUGGGCGAAAGCCUGAUGGAGCAACGCCGCGUGGGUGAUGAAGGGCUUCGGAUCGUAAAACUCUGUUGUUAGGAAAGAACAAAAGUGUAUGUAACUGUUCACGUCUUGACGGUACCUAAUGAAUAAGCAACGGCUAACUACGUG